AUUGUGCUUUUUGAUUGUGCUUCGUCAGCAUCAGAGGCUGAGAAGAAGCUGGAUUAAGAUCAAGGAUUCUAGAGGUUUCAGAUGUACCACGGGGGAGCAUAGGUGGGCGUGCAGACAGGUGUGGAGGAUUUUGUCCAGAAAGAAGGAACUGCCAAACAAUGGAGUGACUUCAGGAGAAGACAAAGAGUCCUGAGUUGGUAUGCUGGGAGCAAAACCUGAGGAGCAACCACUCUGACAAAGAAAACCAGACUGUUGACAACAAUCCAUAAAUCAAACAAAGCAGGUGCUUCUUUGAAGAUUAGGGGUGACUUCCCACCAGACUUACACCAACAAUCACCUCAAAUUAAAAAAAAAAAGAAAGCUA
Long non-coding RNA from Poecilia latipinna (sailfin molly), 364 nucleotides. RefSeq lists it as uncharacterized. Lineage: Eukaryota; Metazoa; Chordata; Actinopteri; Cyprinodontiformes; Poeciliidae. The transcript has 2 exons. The record is from RefSeq and is a predicted model, not a curated record.